RNAcentral lists this ribosomal RNA (540 nucleotides) under uncultured bacterium. RNAcentral's name for it is "bacterial SSU rRNA". It matches the Rfam family "Bacterial small subunit ribosomal RNA", at positions 355 to 896 of the family's 1533-position model. The record is from RNAcentral.
UGAGGAAUAUUGGUCAAUGGGCGAGAGCCUGAACCAGCCAAGUCGCGUGAAGGAUGACUGUCUUAUGGAUUGUAAACUUCUUUUAUACGGGAAUAACAAGAGCCACGUGUGGCUCCCUGCACGUACCGUAUGAAUAAGCAUCGGCUAACUCCGUGCCAGCAGCCGCGGUAAUACGGAAGGUCCAGGCGUUAUCCGGAUUUAUUGGGUUUAAAGGGUGCGUAGGCCGUUUGAUAAGCGUGCUGUGAAAUAUAGUGGCUCAACCUCUAUCGUGCAGCGCGAACUGUCGAACUUGAGUGCGUAUUAGGUAGGCGGAAUUCGUGGUGUAGCGGUGAAAUGCUUAGAUAUCACGAAGAACUCCGAUUGCGAAGGCAGCUUACCGUAGCGUUACUGACGCUUAAGCACGAAGGUGCGGGUAUCGAACAGGAUUAGAUACCCUGGUAGUCCGCACAGUAAACGAUGGAUGCUCGCUGUUGGCCUUUUUGGUCAGUGGCUUAGCGAAAGCGUUAAGCAUCCCACCUGGGGAGUACGCCGGCAACGGUG